AUUGAACGCUGGCGGCAGGCCUAACACAUGCAAGUCGAGCGGAUGAAGGGAGCUUGCUCCUGGCUUCAGCGGCGGACGGGUGAGUAAUGCCUAGGAAUCUGCCUGGUAGUGGGGGAUAACGUCCGGAAACGGGCGCUAAUACCGCAUACGUCCUGAGGGAGAAAGUGGGGGAUCUUCGGACCUCACGCUAUCAGAUGAGCCUAGGUCGGAUUAGCUAGUUGGUGGGGUAAAGGCCUACCAAGGCGACGAUCCGUAACUGGUCUGAGAGGAUGAUCAGUCACACUGGAACUGAGACACGGUCCAGACUCCUACGGGAGGCAGCAGUGGGGAAUAUUGGACCAUGGGCGAAAGCCUGAUCCAGCCAUGCCGCGUGUGUGAAGAAGGUCUUCGGAUUGUAAAGCACUUUAAGUUGGGAGGAAGGGCAGUAAGUUAAUACCUUGCUGUUUUGACGUUACCAACAGAAUAAGCACCGGCUAACUUCGUG
Molecule: ribosomal RNA, 484 nt
Filed under: uncultured bacterium
Lineage: Bacteria
Description: partial 16S ribosomal RNA
Rfam family: Bacterial small subunit ribosomal RNA
Source: RNAcentral